AGAGUUUGAUCCUGGCUCGGGAUGAACGCUAGCGGCAGGCCUAACACAUGCAAGUCGAGGGGUAACAGGAGAGCUUGCUCUCGCUGACGACCGGCGCACGGGUGAGUAACGCGUAUGCAACCUACCUUUAACAGGGGGAUAGCCCGAAGAAAUUCGGAUUAAUACCCCAUAAUACUAUGAAUAAGCAUUUAUUUAUAUUAAAAACUCCGGUGGUUAAAGAUGGGCAUGCGUAACAUUAGUUAGUUGGUGAGGUAACGGCUCACCAAGACUACGAUGUUUAGGGGGCCUGAGAGGGUGGUCCCCCACACUGGUACUGAGACACGGACCAGACUCCUACGGGAGGCAGCAGUGAGGAAUAUUGCGCAAUGGAGGCAACUCUGACGCAGCCAUGCCGCGUGCAGGAUGACGGCCCUACGGGUUGUAAACUGCUUUUAUACAGGAAGAACUUUCCGCACGUGUGCGGGGUUGACGGUACUGUACGAAUAAGCACCGGCUAACUCCGUGCCAGCAGCCGCGGUAAUACGGAGGGUGCAAGCGUUAUCCGGAUUUAUUGGGUUUAAAGGGUGCGUAGGCGGGAUAAUAAGUCAGUGGUGAAAUACUGCAGCUCAACUGUAGAACUGCCAUUGAUACUGUUAUUCUUGAGUUCGAUUGAGGUAGGCGGAAUGUGUGAUGUAGCGGUGAAAUGCUUAGAUAUUACACAGAACACCGAUUGCGUAGGCAGCUUACUAAGUCGACACUGACGCUGAGGCACGAAAGCGUGGGGAGCGAACAGGAUCAGAUACCCUGGUAGUCCACGCUGUAAACUAUGAUCACUAGCUGUUGGCGAUACAUCGAUCAGCGGCAAAGCGAAAGCAUUAAGUGAUCCACCUGGGGAGUACGGUCGCAAGAUUGAAACUCAAAGGAAUUGACGGGGGCCCGCACAAGCGGUGGAACAUGUGGUUUAAUUCGAUGAUACGCGAGGAACCUUACCUGGGCUUAAAUGCAGAUUGACGUUUCGGGAAACCGGAAUUCUCUUCGGAGCGAUUUGCAAGGUGCUGCAUGGUUGUCGUCAGCUCGUGCCGUGAGGUGUCGGGUUAAGUCCCAUAACGAGCGCAACCCCUAUUGUUAGUUGCCAGCGGAUAAUGCCGGGGACUCUAACGAAACUGCCGGUGUAAACCGAGAGGAAGGUGGGGAUGACGUCAAAUCAGCACGGCCCUUAUGUCCAGGGCUACACACGUGUUACAAUGGUCGGUACAGAGGGCAGCUACCUGGUGACAGGAUGCUAAUCUCGAAAGCCGGUCUUAGUUCGGAUCGAAGUCUGCAACUCGACUUCGUGAAGCUGGAAUCGCUAGUAAUCGCGCAUCAGCAACGGCGCGGUGAAUACGUUCCCGGGCCUUGUACGCACCGCCCGUCAAGCCAUGGAAGCUGGGGGUACCUGAAGUCUGUAACCGCAAGGAGCGGCCUAGGGUAAAACUAGUGACUGGGGCUAAGUCGUAACAAGGUA
RNAcentral lists this ribosomal RNA (1483 nucleotides) under metagenome. RNAcentral's name for it is "bacterial SSU rRNA". It matches the Rfam family "Bacterial small subunit ribosomal RNA". The record is from RNAcentral.